RNAcentral lists this transfer RNA (74 nucleotides) under Lizanozyma spartinae. RNAcentral describes it as "Scheffersomyces spartinae tRNA". It matches the Rfam family "tRNA". From Rfam's summary of the family: Transfer RNA (tRNA) molecules are approximately 80 nucleotides in length. Their secondary structure includes four short double-helical elements and three loops (D, anti-codon, and T loops). Further hydrogen bonds mediate the characteristic L-shaped molecular structure. tRNAs have two regions of fundamental functional importance: the anti-codon, which is responsible for specific mRNA codon recognition, and the 3' end, to which the tRNAs corresponding amino acid is attached (by aminoacyl-tRNA synthetases). tRNAs cope with the degeneracy of the genetic code in two manners: having more than one tRNA (with a specific anti-codon) for a particular amino acid; and 'wobble' base-pairing, i.e. permitting non-standard base-pairing at the 3rd anti-codon position. Lineage: Eukaryota; Fungi; Ascomycota; Pichiomycetes; Serinales; Debaryomycetaceae. The record is from Rfam by way of RNAcentral.
GGUCCCUUGGCCCAGUUGGUUAAGGCGUGGUGCUAAUAACGCCAAAAUCGGCGGUUCGAUCCCGCCAGGGACCA